RNAcentral lists this ribosomal RNA (255 nucleotides) under Klebsiella pneumoniae. RNAcentral describes it as "partial 23S ribosomal RNA". It matches the Rfam family "Bacterial large subunit ribosomal RNA", at positions 2110 to 2364 of the family's 2925-position model. Lineage: Bacteria; Pseudomonadati; Pseudomonadota; Gammaproteobacteria; Enterobacterales; Enterobacteriaceae. The record is from RNAcentral.
CUUGACACUGAACAUUGAGCCUUGAUGUGUAGGAUAGGUGGGAGGCUUUGAAGCGUGGACGCCAGUCUGCGUGGAGCCGACCUUGAAAUACCACCCUUUAAUGUUUGAUGUUCUAACGUUGGCCCCUUACCGGGGUUGCGGACAGUGUCUGGUGGGUAGUUUGACUGGGGCGGUCUCCUCCCAAAGCGUAACGGAGGAGCACGAAGGUUAGCUAAUCCUGGUCGGACAUCAGGAGGUUAGUGCAAUGGCAUAAGC